AGAGGGGGAUAGCCCGGCGAAAGUCGGAUUAAUACCCCAUAAAACAGGGGUCCCGCAUGGGAAUAUUUGUUAAAGAUUCAUCGCUGAUAGAUAGGCAUGCGUUCCAUUAGGCAGUUGGCGGGGUAACGGCCCACCAAACCGACGAUGGAUAGGGGUUCUGAGAGGAAGGUCCCCCACAUUGGUACUGAGACACGGACCAAACUCCUACGGGAGGCAGCAGUGAGGAAUAUUGGUCAAUGGCCGAGAGGCUGAACCAGCCAAGUCGCGUGAAGGAAGAAGGAUCUAUGGUUUGUAAACUUCUUUUAUAGGGGAAUAAAGUGGAGGACGUGUCCUUUUUUGUAUGUACCCUAUGAAUAAGCAUCGGCUAACUCCGUGCCAGCAGCCGCGGUAAUACGGAGGAUGCGAGCGUUAUCCGGAUUUAUUGGGUUUAAAGGGUGCGUAGGUGGUGAUUUAAGUCAGCGGUGAAAGUUUGUGGCUCAACCAUAAAAUUGCCGUUGAAACUGGGUUACUUGAGUGUGUUUGAGGUAGGCGGAAUGCGUGGUGUAGCGGUGAAAUGCAUAGAUAUCACGCAGAACUCCGAUUGCGAAGGCAGCUUACUAAACCAUAACUGACACUGAAGCACGAAAGCGUGGGGACCAAACAGGAUUAGAUACCCUGGUAGUCCACGCAGUAAACGA
This 677-nucleotide ribosomal RNA is filed under the name uncultured bacterium. RNAcentral describes it as "bacterial SSU rRNA". It matches the Rfam family "Bacterial small subunit ribosomal RNA", at positions 135 to 809 of the family's 1533-position model. The record is from RNAcentral.